AAAAUAUAAACUUUGAUGAUUUUAAAAAAAAUUAAUUUAAAGACCACGUGACAAAACUAAAAAUAUAUUUGGACUCUACGAAUUUUUUUGAAUUUUCUAGAAUUUUUUUGAAAUUUUUGGGCCUCGUUUUCGGUCCCAAGGCAAAGUAAAAAAAUUUAAAAUUUUAUAUCUUGAAUUGGACCGGCCAUAUCGAACCGGAUCAGAUAAGACCGGUCGAAUCGAACCGGCCAGUUCUUUUUCUUCUUCCUCCGCGCGAGUCCCCAACCCUUCUUCCUCUCUCUCCCGUU
RNAcentral lists this unclassified non-coding RNA (287 nucleotides) under Hevea brasiliensis (rubber tree). Lineage: Eukaryota; Viridiplantae; Streptophyta; Magnoliopsida; Malpighiales; Euphorbiaceae. The record is from RNAcentral.